GUCCCUUUUGAAGGAAACACACCAUUCCCGGAAGUAAAAAAAAAAGUGAUUUAUUUGGAAACCCUUAAGACUUUUAACCACGUUUGCCAAAGAAACGGCACCCAAAGUGGAAGAAGGCCUCAGUUCGUCAUAAUGUGUCGCUUGUUGGCGUAACGAGGAGUCAACCCAUUCAUGACAUGUCACAUAUUUGUUGUUGUCUCCCAUGGACCACAAGCCACCACACCCUACGGUCAUGUGACAUCUUGAACCGUACUGCUCUUCUUGUUUGGACUGAACAGGUUUGCGAGUGGAUGUAAAGAAUGAGAUCGAUGGACAUCAAUCUUCAACAUCAUCCUAUUUGUGUUUCUCCACCAGGAGGUUUGGUGGGAAGAGCAGAUGUCCGCGUGCACAUGGAGCUGCCAAGAGGGUGCAGAAACGGGCCAUGCUCAGACACAAGGGCCCCAAAUGGUGUGACAAAGGAUGUGCAGGAAGCCCCUCUCCGCCUGGGUGAGCCCCAGAGAGGGUCUCCUCCUCUGCCAGUCUGUGCGAGCCAAAGCCUUGUGCUCCUCACCAGGACGAUGAGUUGCCACCGUAUCUAAUAGAUUCUCCAUCCAUCCAUCCAUCCAUCCAUCCCCCCAAACAAGGUGACCGUGUCACGAGUGUCAAUCGUGUCGUCUUCCAAGCACAGGUGUGCCGCCUGGCCCAGAGUGAAUGGGGUGCGGUCGACCAUAAACAAUGAUAU
Long non-coding RNA from Phyllopteryx taeniolatus (common seadragon), 721 nucleotides. RefSeq lists it as uncharacterized. The record is from RefSeq and is a predicted model, not a curated record. The transcript is spliced from 6 exons. NCBI's taxonomy places the organism in Eukaryota, Metazoa, Chordata, Actinopteri, Syngnathiformes, Syngnathidae.